GAGACCCACGCCAACAGUUGCCAGCAUGUCCUCCGGGAUGGUGGGGACACUGUUGGGACCGCCUCUGCUAAAGAGGAGGGAGGAAUGGGCAACGGUAGGUCAGCAUGCCCCGAAUUAUCCGGGCUACACGCGGGCUACAAUGGUCAGGACAAUGGGUAUCGACACCGAGAGGUGAAGGCAAUCUCUUAAACCUGUCCUUAGUUCGGAUUGUGGGCUGCAACUCGCCCACAUGAAGCUGGAAUCCGUAGUAAUCGCGUCUCAAAAUGGCGCGGUGAAUAU
Molecule: ribosomal RNA, 279 nt
Filed under: uncultured archaeon
Lineage: Archaea
Description: partial 16S rRNA
Rfam family: Archaeal small subunit ribosomal RNA
Source: RNAcentral